This 250-nucleotide ribosomal RNA is filed under the name uncultured bacterium. RNAcentral's name for it is "partial 16S ribosomal RNA". It matches the Rfam family "Bacterial small subunit ribosomal RNA", at positions 524 to 773 of the family's 1533-position model. The record is from RNAcentral.
UACGUAGGGUGCGAGCGUUAAUCGGAAUUACUGGGCGUAAAGCGUGCGCAGGCGGUUCUGUAAGUCAGAUGUGAAAGCCCCGGGCUCAACCUGGGAACUGCGUUUGAAACUACAGGACUAGAGUAUGGCAGAGGGGGGUAGAAUUCCACGUGUAGCAGUGAAAUGCGUAGAGAUGUGGAGGAAUACCAAUGGCGAAGGCAGCCCCCUGGGUCAAUACUGACGCUCAUGCACGAAAGCGUGGGGAGCAAAC